RNAcentral lists this transfer RNA (69 nucleotides) under Hemiphyllodactylus pardalis. RNAcentral's name for it is "tRNA-Ala". Lineage: Eukaryota; Metazoa; Chordata; Lepidosauria; Squamata; Gekkonidae. The record is from RNAcentral.
GGAGGUCUUAGCUUAAUAAAAGUGUCUGAUUUGCAGUCAGGAGAUGUGUGUUAGAAUAUUACAGGCCUU